GUCUGGUUUUAUUCUUGCCUCUUUGUUCAGUGUUGUUUUGUUUUAUAUGUAAGUUUCUGCGUGAAUUCUAUCUUUUUUCUUGAUGGUGGGGGAGAAUUUGGACGGGUAAGGGACCUCUUUGUUCGCAUUAUUUAGUUUUAUAUUAUUGAUCUUGUUGUUUCGGAUUUAGCAAUAGUUUUUAGUGCCGGUUAAGUUUGUGCCAGCAGCCGCGGUUAUACAUUAGGUGUUAUUGAACAUUUUCGGUUGUGCAGUUUUAUUACUUUUUUUGUAUGGGCUUGUAUUGAGGUUUUAUUUAGUAGAUGGGUGGAAUCUUUAUUUUCAUUUAUUGCUUAUUUUGUUUUUGUAGGCUGUGAAAUCUUUUUUGUAGACUAGGAUUAGAUACCCUAUUAUUUUGGGUGUCAAUUAUGUUUACCUGGGUAGUACUAGUUAUGUUCUUGAAACCCAAAGAAUUUGGCGGUAUUCUUUACCUUUCAGAGGAAUCUGCCCCGUAAUCGAUAGUCCGCGUUGGACCUUACUUAAUUCUUUUUUGUUUGUAUACCGCCGUUAUAAUGAGGAUCUUUUUAGUGUUUAUAAUUCUCUGGUUUUAUUAUUUUAAUUUAUUUCAGGUCAAGGUGCAAUUUAUUUUUAAGUGUGAGGUGGAUUACAUUAUUUUGUUGAAUUUUGGAUUACUGAUUGAGAUCUUGGGAUGAAAUUGGAUUUGAUUGUAAUCUGUUGGAGAUUGUGUUGAUGAUGGUGGUACUGGAAUAUGCACACAUCGCCCGUCGCUCUCAUUUGUUUGUUGAGAUAAGUCGUAACAUAGUGGUCGUACCGGAAGGUGUGGCUGGAUUGAU
This 830-nucleotide non-coding RNA is filed under the name Incisitermes minor. Lineage: Eukaryota; Metazoa; Arthropoda; Insecta; Blattodea; Kalotermitidae. The record is from RNAcentral.